RNAcentral lists this ribosomal RNA (2918 nucleotides) under Acinetobacter baumannii. Its description in RNAcentral is "23S ribosomal RNA". It matches the Rfam family "Bacterial large subunit ribosomal RNA". Lineage: Bacteria; Pseudomonadati; Pseudomonadota; Gammaproteobacteria; Moraxellales; Moraxellaceae. The record is from RNAcentral.
GUUGUAUAGUCAAGUAAUUAAGUGCAUGUGGUGGAUGCCUUGGCAGUCAGAGGCGAUGAAAGACGUGAUAGCCUGCGAAAAGCUCCGGGGAGGCGGCAAAUAUCCUUUGAUCCGGAGAUGUCUGAAUGGGGAAACCCACCUACUUUAAGGUAGGUAUUGCAACAUGAAUACAUAGUGUUGCAAGGCGAACGAGGGGAAGUGAAACAUCUCAGUACCCUUAGGAAAAGAAAUCAAUUGAGAUUCCCUCAGUAGCGGCGAGCGAACGGGGAUCAGCCCAUUAAGUUAUGUGUGUUUUAGUGGAACGCUCUGGGAAGUGCGAACGUAGAGGGUGAUAUUCCCGUACACGAAAGGGCACACAUAAUGAUGACGAGUAGGGCGAGGCACGUGAAACCUUGUCUGAAUAUGGGGGGACCAUCCUCCAAGGCUAAAUACUCCUGACUGACCGAUAGUGAACCAGUACCGUGAGGGAAAGGCGAAAAGAACCCCUGUGAGGGGAGUGAAAUAGAUCCUGAAACCGCAUGCAUACAAGCAGUGGGAGCACCUUCGUGGUGUGACUGCGUACCUUUUGUAUAAUGGGUCAGCGACUUAUAUUCAGUAGCGAGGUUAACCGUAUAGGGGAGCCGUAGAGAAAUCGAGUCUUAAUAGGGCGUUUAGUUGCUGGGUAUAGACCCGAAACCAGGCGAUCUAUCCAUGAGCAGGUUGAAGGUUGGGUAACACUAACUGGAGGACCGAACCCACUGUCGUUGAAAAGCCAGGGGAUGACUUGUGGAUAGGGGUGAAAGGCUAAUCAAGCCUGGUGAUAGCUGGUUCUCCCCGAAAGCUAUUUAGGUAGCGCCUCGGACGAAUACCAUAGGGGGUAGAGCACUGUUUCGGCUAGGGGGUCAUCCCGACUUACCAAACCGAUGCAAACUCCGAAUACCUAUGAGUACUAUCCGGGAGACAGACUGCGGGUGCUAACGUCCGUAGUCAAGAGGAAAACAAUCCAGACCGCCAGCUAAGGCCCCAAAAUCAUAGUUAAGUGGGAAACGAUGUGGGAAGGCAUAGACAGCUAGGAGGUUGGCUUAGAAGCAGCCACCCUUUAAAGAAAGCGUAAUAGCUCACUAGUCGAGUCGGCCUGCGCGGAAGAUGUAACGGGGCUAAAACUAUGUGCCGAAGCUGCGGAUGUAUACUUUGUAUACGUGGUAGGGGAGCGUUCUGUAAGCCGAUGAAGGUGUGUUGAGAAGCAUGCUGGAGGUAUCAGAAGUGCGAAUGCUGACGUGAGUAACGACAAAACGGGUGAAAAACCCGUUCGCCGAAAGACCAAGGGUUCCAGUCCAACGUUAAUCGGGGCUGGGUGAGUCGACCCCUAAGGCGAGGCCGAAAGGCGUAGUCGAUGGGAAAAUGGUUAAUAUUCCAUUACUUCUGUGUAAUGCGAUGAGAGGACGGAGAAGGCUAAAUCAGCCUGGCGUUGGUUGUCCAGGUGAAAGGAUGUAGGCAUGUAUCUUAGGCAAAUCCGGGGUACUCUAUGCUGAGAUCUGAUAGCAAGCUGUACUUGUACAGCGAAGUGGUUGAUGCCAUGCUUCCAGGAAAAGUCUCUAAGCUUCAGUUACACAGGAAUCGUACCCGAAACCGACACAGGUGGUCAGGUCGAGUAGACCAAGGCGCUUGAGAGAACUCUGCUGAAGGAACUAGGCAAAAUGGUACCGUAACUUCGGGAGAAGGUACGCUGUUGUUGGUGAUGGAACUCGCUUCCUGAGCUGACGACAGCCGCAGAAACCAGGCCGCUGCAACUGUUUAUUAAAAACAUAGCACUCUGCAAACACGAAAGUGGACGUAUAGGGUGUGAUGCCUGCCCGGUGCUGGAAGGUUAAUUGAUGGGGUUAGCGUAAGCGAAGCUCUUGAUCGAAGCCCCAGUAAACGGCGGCCGUAACUAUAACGGUCCUAAGGUAGCGAAAUUCCUUGUCGGGUAAGUUCCGACCUGCACGAAUGGCAUAAUGAUGGCGGCGCUGUCUCCAGCAGAGGCUCAGUGAAAUCGAAAUCGCUGUGAAGAUGCAGUGUACCCGCGGCUAGACGGAAAGACCCCGUGAACCUUUACUGCAGCUUGACACUGAACUUUGACCUUACUUGUGUAGGAUAGGUGGGAGGCUUUGAAGCUGGAACGCUAGUUCCAGUGGAGCCGUCCUUGAAAUACCACCCUGGUAAUGUUGAGGUUCUAACUCUGUCCCGUGAUCCGGGACGAGGACCGUGUCUGGUGGGUAGUUUGACUGGGGCGGUCUCCUCCUAAAGAGUAACGGAGGAGUACGAAGGUGCGCUCAGCGUGGUCGGAAAUCACGCGUAGAGUAUAAAGGCAAAAGCGCGCUUAACUGCGAGACCCACAAGUCGAGCAGGUACGAAAGUAGGUCUUAGUGAUCCGGUGGUUCUGUAUGGAAGGGCCAUCGCUCAACGGAUAAAAGGUACUCUGGGGAUAACAGGCUGAUACCGCCCAAGAGUUCAUAUCGACGGCGGUGUUUGGCACCUCGAUGUCGGCUCAUCUCAUCCUGGGGCUGAAGCAGGUCCCAAGGGUAUGGCUGUUCGCCAUUUAAAGAGGUACGCGAGCUGGGUUUAGAACGUCGUGAGACAGUUCGGUCCCUAUCUACCGUGGGCGCUGGAAAUUUGAGAGGAUCUGCUCCUAGUACGAGAGGACCAGAGUGGACGAACCUCUGGUGUACCGGUUGUGACGCCAGUCGCAUCGCCGGGUAGCUAUGUUCGGAAGGGAUAACCGCUGAAAGCAUCUAAGCGGGAAGCCUACCUCAAGAUAAGAUUUCCCUAGGACUUUAUGUCCUCUAAAGAGCCGUUCGAGACUAGGACGUUGAUAGGUUGGAUGUGGAAGCAUAGUGAUAUGUGAAGCUGACCAAUACUAAUUGCUCGUGAGGCUUGACUAUACAACACCCAAGCAGUUG